Molecule: ribosomal RNA, 497 nt
Filed under: uncultured bacterium
Lineage: Bacteria
Description: partial 16S ribosomal RNA
Rfam family: Bacterial small subunit ribosomal RNA
Source: RNAcentral
GAUGAACGCUGGCGGCGUGCCUAAUACAUGCAAGUCGAGCGAACAGACGAGGAGCUUGCUCCUCUGACGUUAGCGGCGGACGGGUGAGUAACACGUGGAUAACCUACCUAUAAGACUGGGAUAACUUCGGGAAACCGGAGCUAAUACCGGAUAAUAUAUUGAACCGCAUGGUUCAAUAGUUAAAGACGGUUUUGCUGUCACUUAUAGAUUGAUCCGCGCCGCAUUAGCUAGUUGGUAAGGUAACGGCUUACCAAGGCAACGAUGCGUAGCCGACCUGAUAGGGUGAUCGGCCAAACUGGAAGUGAGACACGGACCAGACGACUACGGGAGGCAGCAGUAGGGAAUAUUCCGCAAUGGGCGAAAGCAUGACGGAGCAACGCCGAGUGAGAGAAGAAGGUCUUCGGAUCGUAAAACUCUGUUAUUAGGGAAGAACAAAUGUGUAAGUAACUAUGCACGUCUUGACGGUAACUAAUCAGAAAGCAACGGCUAACUACGUG